RNAcentral lists this ribosomal RNA (253 nucleotides) under uncultured bacterium. Its description in RNAcentral is "partial 16S ribosomal RNA". It matches the Rfam family "Bacterial small subunit ribosomal RNA", at positions 524 to 776 of the family's 1533-position model. The record is from RNAcentral.
UACGAAGGGGGCUAGCGUUGCUCGGAAUCACUGGGCGUAAAGGGUGCGUAGGCGGGUCUUUAAGUCAGGGGGGAAAUCCUGGAGCUCAACUCCAGAACUGCCUUUGAUACUGAAGAUCUUGAGUUCGGGAGAGGUGAGUGGAACUGCGAGUGUAGAGGUGAAAUUCGUAGAUAUUCGCAAGAACACCAGUGGCGAAGGCGGCUCACUGGCCCGAUACUGACGCUGAGGCACGAAGGCGUGGGGAGCAAACAGG